This 932-nucleotide long non-coding RNA is filed under the name Zonotrichia albicollis (white-throated sparrow). Its description in RNAcentral is "lncRNA (ENSZALG00000010163.1)". Lineage: Eukaryota; Metazoa; Chordata; Aves; Passeriformes; Passerellidae. The record is from RNAcentral.
UGAAUGUUUUGUACUUAAAUAAAAAUCUGGUUCACUGAUCAUGUUAGAGAUGGUAUUUUCUUCUAGAACAGAACACAUGUCCCCUGCUUAUACUAGCUGAAGACAAGAUUGAGACAGAACUCUUUAGAGAAAUCCAUGGAAGGUGAAUGCAAGUGAAGAACAACGACAGAACAGAUGACACUUCUAAGACAUGUACAGUGUGUGCAUCACCAGGAGAGCUGUGCAUGGAAUGUUCUUACAUACAAUAAUGAAACUCACUCUUAAUCAAAUAAUUACAUUGGUGAGUGAGGUUGCCUAGAAUAUGAAUGCAGCAAGCCAAGAGAUCUGUCUUGGUAUAAAAUCUCAGGUACCUAACUGGCUGUGUUUAUGCUGCACUGCAAAAGCAAACUCUGUGCUCCAUGGCUGUGUCAGAGCAACAGCUUCAAGAGAUCAUCUUUCUAAGAGGGGUGCAAGGGAAGGCUAUAAGAGUGGUUUCUGUGUGAAGCAGCCAGAAGCCUCCCCAUGUCCAACAGCCCCAAUGCCAGAUGGCUCCAACACACACCCACCUCUGGCCAAUGCAGAGCUCUGUGAAGAUUUGACAACUUUGUGUAGGUUCUGUUGUGUUAUGGGCUCAGAGAAACCAGUGGGUAGGAGAAAGUGCUCUGGCCUUCAUUGAUUUCCAUUUUUAUUGACUAUUUUAUCAUCUUUUAUUAGAAAGUGGCUUCACUGUUGACCUUUUAUAUCUGCUACCCUGAGGAUAGCAAAAUGAAAAACAUUAAAUGUUAUCCUUUUCCUUUAAUAACAGAAAUUGGAUAUUUUGUUUGUAAGAGGGAAACAAUCUCAGUCCUGGAGUUCAUUUCACUGUGCAACAGAAAAUAUGUUUUGAUAUGUUUUUCUAUUGAGAGCACAUCUACUUUUACUAUUUUCCCAUAAAAUGAUAAAACAUAUGAUUU